RNAcentral lists this ribosomal RNA (253 nucleotides) under uncultured bacterium. RNAcentral describes it as "partial 16S ribosomal RNA". It matches the Rfam family "Bacterial small subunit ribosomal RNA", at positions 524 to 776 of the family's 1533-position model. The record is from RNAcentral.
GACAGGGGGCUCGAGCGUUAAUCGGAAUCAUUGGGCUUAAAGGGUGCGUAGGCGGGUUGCUAAGUGUUCUGUGAAAUCCCCCGGCUCAACCGGGGAAUCGCAGGGCAUACUGGCAGCCUUGAGGCAUGUAGGGGCGGACGGAACUGUAGGUGGAGCGGUGAAAUGCGUAGAUAUCUACAGGAACGCCGAUGGUGAAGACGGUCCGCUGGGCAUGUCCUGACGCUGAGAGACGAAAGCUAGGGGAGCGAAUGGG